CACACUUUUCAGUUGUUUGCACACCUACCUCUCUGCUAUGGAAGAAUAAAAACAUAAGAGGAAAUAGCUUUGACUCUACUGCCCUAUCAAGCCAACAGGCAUCUGCCCUCCGGGAAGGCUCCCCAGGCUCCGGGCACAGAAAGGACAUUGUUCUGUUCUUCCUCCUUCCUGCCCUUCCACCUCCUUCCUGGCGCAGAGACCUUUCCAGGGGAAGUGUUUAUGAAAAGCAACGUGAGCUCACAGAGCAAGCCAGAUCCCAGGAGCCCAGAUGGCAGUGCGCAAAUCCACCAGAUCACUCAGAACCAGGAAGCUCUCCCCCACCAGCUCUGCAAGGCGAUGCCAAACGAUCUUACUCUCUUAGGCUCUUGAGGUUGAAGGGAACCCUCGUGGCGGUGAAGUCCAACCAAAUGGAGACGGGUAGGAGGGGCAACCAUCUGGCUCUACAU
Molecule: long non-coding RNA, 446 nt
Organism: Eptesicus fuscus (big brown bat)
Lineage: Eukaryota; Metazoa; Chordata; Mammalia; Chiroptera; Vespertilionidae
Exons: 3
Source: RefSeq, a predicted model, not a curated record